CAAGUGUACAGCAAUGGACGAAGUGUAUCGGUGCUGCAGCACAAGACCUGUCAAGCUGUAGAGUAUGUGGAGCUAUAGGUGGGCUGAAACAAGGAACGAACUAGCACCACGUUAGUUAUAAAAGCGAGCUGAAUAAGCGUUCGACGAUGGUACUGUGCUGGUCCUAGGCUAGACCGUGCUAGAGACGCGAGCCUGGACACAAAGGGAAAACACAGCACACCACUAGAAACAAAAUGAGUAGCCCUACUGGAAACAAAAGGAACAACAAUCCCCUUUUUUUGAUUUUCUUUCUUUCUUUCUUUCUUUCUUUUUUUUUUAUUUUUUUCUUUCUCUUUUCUUUUUUUUGGGGAACCUCAAAACCUGAUUAUAUAAACAAAAUAGUACAAAAUAUCACUUCACCACUCUCACCCUCUCACUAGAGUAAGGCUGAACCUCAAAAUUCAAUAUAUCUAGCACAAGUAUGAAGUGCUAUCUUUCCUUUUCGAUCACGUUGAUGGAAACGCAGAAUAGACCAACAAGUGGCUGCACCUAUUAUCAAGAUCUACUCAAAUUCCAACCCACAAUAGAUUGGACGCAGUUGUGACUAGAUGGUGACAAGAACUCAAAUCUCUAAAGGACUAAACUAAAACCAGCACUGGACAAGACCGAAGCAAAACCCUCAUUCAACCAGCCCUAACUAAGUAGUACUAGCCACGGCACAAAGGAUUUAUAGGAUUAUGGAAAACAAAUCUGCUAUAUUUUUUGGCUUUUUUUUGGACUAUAGGAAAAACAAACACGAAGAAUUGGAAAUCUCUCACCGAUAAACCUUGCUCUGAUUACCAACUGAUGCGAACCCGCUAGGGUUUUUGGCCUGAUCUUUCGAUGAGAGGCGCUGGAUAACUCGAUUAGUGGAUGGAGAUGACGUUCACGGCCCGACUACAGCCCUCAAGACCGUGCCUUAGCAACCGAUACACCACGUCCAACAGCUGUCACGAUCUUGUGGAGCGCGACAACCAGCCCCUAGGGCUCCCGUCCUGCAAGCAAUCGAAGAACUAGCAAGAACGAGGAAACAAGCACUGAAUUUGCAAGAUGAAUUGAAGGUUCCAAACUGAAUCUGAAUCAACAAUGGGGUUCCGAAGACAAGGAGACGGGCGGCUGAUCCUGCACGCGCGCCUACAAGCAAGUAGCGAAGGCUAAACUUGAUCUAAACAAAACCCAGUUGUUCAUGGUGGCUCUAGAUGUAAAUAAAUAGAGGGGAGGACGACCAAAGGGGUGCU
Molecule: long non-coding RNA, 1256 nt
Filed under: Sorghum bicolor (sorghum)
Lineage: Eukaryota; Viridiplantae; Streptophyta; Magnoliopsida; Poales; Poaceae
Description: long non-coding RNA (SBIC_LNC018497)
Source: RNAcentral